Long non-coding RNA from Molossus molossus (Pallas's mastiff bat), 264 nucleotides. RefSeq lists it as uncharacterized. The record is from RefSeq and is a predicted model, not a curated record. NCBI's taxonomy places the organism in Eukaryota, Metazoa, Chordata, Mammalia, Chiroptera, Molossidae. The transcript has 3 exons.
GGUGUGGAGAUCUAUCAUCUCGCUGCUACUGUGGCUUCUGUCAAGACUUGGCUUCUAUUGGAUUCAAGUAAUUUGGCAGUAUGCCUAACCACCUUGAAUAGCUACACAACCAUUCCCAACAAAGCUAAUGAGCAGUAAGGAACCUGUAUUUGUUGUGUGCAACUCUCCUACAAAACACUGGGAGUAAGCAGUCUCGUGUUCUCUCUUAUCCACUAGUCCUGGAAGACCUGUUAUGCUACUUGAGAGACGUGAUAUCUAACUAGC